GAUGAACGCUGGCGGCGUGCCUAAUACAUGCAAGUCGAGCGAACAGAUGAGGAGCUUGCUCCUCUGACGUUAGCGGCGGACGGGUGAGUAACACGUGGAUAACCUACCUAUAAGACUGGGAUAACUUCGGGAAACCGGAGCUAAUACCGGAUAAUAUAUUGAACCGCAUGGUUCAAUAGUGAAAGACGGUUUUGCUGUCACUUAUAGAUGGAUCCGCGCCGCAUUAGCUAGUUGGUAAGGUAACGGCUUACCAAGGCGACGAUGCGUAGCCGACCUGAGAGGGUGAUCGGCAACACUGGAACUGAGACACGGUCCAGACUCCUACGGGAGGCAGCAGUAGGGAAUCUUCCGCAAUGGGCGAAAGCCUGACGGAGCAACGCCGCGUGAGUGAUGAAGGUCUUCGGAUCGUAAAACUCUGUUAUUAGGGAAGAACAAAUGUGUAAGUAACUAUGCACGUCUUGACGGUACCUAAUCAGAAAGCCACGGCUAACUACGUG
RNAcentral lists this ribosomal RNA (497 nucleotides) under uncultured bacterium. RNAcentral describes it as "partial 16S ribosomal RNA". It matches the Rfam family "Bacterial small subunit ribosomal RNA", at positions 28 to 507 of the family's 1533-position model. The record is from RNAcentral.